GGCAUGGUGGUGCAGUGGACAGCACUGUCACCUCACAACAAGGGUCCUGGGUUUGAAUCCCAGAUGAGUGG
RNAcentral lists this transfer RNA (71 nucleotides) under Anguilla anguilla (European eel). RNAcentral's name for it is "tRNA-OTHER". Lineage: Eukaryota; Metazoa; Chordata; Actinopteri; Anguilliformes; Anguillidae. The record is from RNAcentral.